AGGAUAAACGCUGGCGGCGUGCCUAAUGCAUGCAAGUCGAACGGGAAGUCUUUCGGGACUCGACCGUGGCGGACGGGUGAGGAGCACGUAGCUGACCUGCCCUGGUGUGGGGGAUAUCCUCGGGAAACCGAGUGUAAUACCGCAUGUGCUUUCAUGGAGGGAUCCGUGAAAGGAAAGCCGAGAGGCGUACCAGGAGGGGGCUGCGUCCGAUUAGCUAGUUGGUGGGGUAACGGCUCACCAAGGCUCCGAUCGGUAUCC
This 258-nucleotide ribosomal RNA is filed under the name uncultured bacterium. Its description in RNAcentral is "partial small subunit ribosomal RNA". It matches the Rfam family "Bacterial small subunit ribosomal RNA", at positions 26 to 288 of the family's 1533-position model. The record is from RNAcentral.